Molecule: ribosomal RNA, 483 nt
Filed under: uncultured bacterium
Lineage: Bacteria
Description: bacterial SSU rRNA
Rfam family: Bacterial small subunit ribosomal RNA
Source: RNAcentral
GUGAACGCUGGCGGCAGGCCUAACACAUGCAAGUCGAGCGGCAGCACGGGAGCAAUCCCUGGUGGCGAGUGGCGAACGGGUGAGUAAUAUAUCGGAACGUGCCCGGUCGUGGGGGAUAACGUAGCGAAAGCUACGCUAAUACCGCAUACGAUCUACGGAUGAAAGCGGGGGAUCGCAAGACCUCGCGCGAUUGGAGCGGCCGAUAUCAGAUUAGGUAGUUGGUGAGGUAAAGGCUCACCAAGCCAACGAUCUGUAGCUGGUCUGAGAGGACGACCAGCCACACUGGGACUGAGACACGGCCCAGACUCCUACGGGAGGCAGCAGUGGGGAAUUUUGGACAAUGGGCGCAAGCCUGAUCCAGCAAUGCCGCGUGCAGGAUGAAGGCCUUCGGGUUGUAAACUGCUUUGUACGGAACGAAACGGUGAGCUCUAAUACAGUUUGCUAAUGACGGUACCGUAAGAAUAAGCACCGGCUAACUACGUG